AUGUUCAGGUGGCAUCCAUGUAUGAUACAGUUGACGAAGGGCCGUUGGCUCAACAGAAAUCAUACAAGUCUAGUUAUCAGAAGAAUACAUCUACUAGAACUGAGACCAGACCAAAUUUUGCUCCUGGAGAAUUGCGGAAAGCCAAACAGUUACAAGGAAUAUAGACAUGCUAAUGGUCUGUGUUACAGUUGUGGAGAAAAAUAUAUAUACGGGCAUGUAUGCAAGCAGGUUCCUGCUCCUACAGCUCAACUUAAGGCAGCUGAAGUGGUUGAUCCUCAUGAGAUAAUAUCUGAUGCUGUCUUAGAUGCUUUAGUGGACAAUUUUCAGGAAGAGUGUGCUACUAUCUCUGUGACAGCUUUGUCUGGAGCUUCACAUCCUAAAACUAUUCAACUCAGGGCUCUCAUGGGAAAUCAAGUGGUGCUGGUGCUCAUUGAUUCAGGCAGUACACACACCUUUGUGGAUCAGGCCCUGUUGAGCAGAGUGCCAGUUACUGCAGAAAAACUGACUCACCCCUUGCAAGUUAAAGUGGCCAAUGGAGACUUGGUAGCAUACACUGAAUUUGUGCCCAACUUAACCUGGUGGAUUCAGGGCCAUAAUUUCACAAGCUCUAUGGAAGUGUUACCACUGGCAGGACAUGACAUUAUUUUAGGGAUGGACUGGCUGGAACAGUGGGGUGUAAUGCAACGUCAUUGUGCUGAGAAGUGGAUUCAGUUUUUGUAUCAGAGGAAAGAAGGGAAGUUACAAGGGCUCUUACCUGCCAAGCAAGAGUCUAUCCAAGAAAUUUCUGUGGACCAGCUGCUGAAAUGGGAGAAGGGUAAUGAAAUCUGGGCCACAGCUGUGUUACAGCCCAUUACUGCUACUCCAGGUGCUCAAGUCCCAACUGAAGUACAGCAACUAUUGGAGACUAACAAAGCAGUGUUUGUUGAUCCCAAGACCCUGCCUCCCCAUAGAGUUUGA
This 957-nucleotide ribosomal RNA is filed under the name Triticum aestivum (bread wheat). Its description in RNAcentral is "partial small subunit ribosomal RNA". The record is from RNAcentral. Lineage: Eukaryota; Viridiplantae; Streptophyta; Magnoliopsida; Poales; Poaceae.